UCUGGAAGACCUUUUGACAACCAACUCUUGAUCUAAGUCAGUAUUAGAUGUAUACCCUAGAAGUUAGGUAGGCUGACACAUGUACACAUUCUAUAGAUAUAGUUUUAUAAUUAAAUUUUGAAAUAAAUAAAAUUUGGAUUAUUUUUUCAUUCAUGUUGUAUUUUAGUUGUGUCUAAGAAUCAUCCGAGGAAUUAAUAGAUAAUGAUAUG
This 209-nucleotide long non-coding RNA is filed under the name Elaeis guineensis (African oil palm). RNAcentral's name for it is "long non-coding RNA (EGUI_LNC071234)". The record is from RNAcentral. Lineage: Eukaryota; Viridiplantae; Streptophyta; Magnoliopsida; Arecales; Arecaceae.